UUGGAGGGCAAGUCUGGUGCCAGCAGCCGCGGUAAUUCCAGCUCCAAUAGCGUAUAUUAAAGUUGUUGUGGUUAAAAAGCUCGUAGUUGAACCUUGGGCCUGGCCGUCCGGUCCGCCUCACCGCGUGUACUGGCUCGGCCGGGCCUUUCCCUCUGUGGAACCCCAUGCCCUUCACUGGGCGUGGCGGGGAAACAGGACUUUUACUGUGAAAAAAUUAGAGUGCUCCAGGCAGGCCUAUGSUMGKAUWSAUKAGCAUGGAAUAAUAGAAUAGGACGUGUGGUUCUAUUUUGUUGGUUUCUAGGACCGCCGUAAUGAUUAAUAGGGACAGUCGGGGGCAUCAGUAUUCAAUUGUCAGAGGUGAAAUUCUUGGAUUUAUUGAAGACUAACUACUGCGAAAGCAUUUGCCAAGGAUGUUUUCRUUAAUCAGGAACGAAAGUUAGGGGAUCGAAGACGAUCAGAUACCGUCGUAGUCUUAACCAURRARUAUGCCGACUAGGGAUCGGACGGUGUUAUUUUUUGWCCMRKRSGGCGCCUUACGGGAAAC
RNAcentral lists this ribosomal RNA (544 nucleotides) under uncultured fungus. RNAcentral's name for it is "partial 18S small subunit ribosomal RNA". It matches the Rfam family "Eukaryotic small subunit ribosomal RNA", at positions 550 to 1109 of the family's 1831-position model. Lineage: Eukaryota; Fungi. The record is from RNAcentral.